RNAcentral lists this ribosomal RNA (2535 nucleotides) under human gut metagenome. Its description in RNAcentral is "bacterial LSU rRNA". It matches the Rfam family "Bacterial large subunit ribosomal RNA", at positions 14 to 2572 of the family's 2925-position model. The record is from RNAcentral.
AGCGUACACGGUGGAUGCCCUGGCAGUCAGAGGCGAUGAAGGACGUGCUAAUCUGCGAUAAGCGUCGGUAAGGUGAUAUGAACCGUUAUAACCGGCGAUUUCCGAAUGGGGAAACCCAGUGUGAUUCGUCACACUAUCAUUAACUGAAUCCAUAGGUUAAUGAGGCGAACCGGGGGAACUGAAACAUCUAAGUACCCCGAGGAAAAGAAAUCAACCGAGAUUCCCCCAGUAGCGGCGAGCGAACGGGGAGCAGCCCAGAGCCUGAAUCAGUGUGUGUGUUAGUGGAAGCGUCUGGAAAGGCGCGCGAUACAGGGUGACAGCCCCGUACACAAAAAUGCACAUACUGUGAGCUCGAUGAGUAGGGCGGGACACGUGGUAUCCUGUCUGAAUAUGGGGGGACCAUCCUCCAAGGCUAAAUACUCCUGACUGACCGAUAGUGAACCAGUACCGUGAGGGAAAGGCGAAAAGAACCCCGGCGAGGGGAGUGAAAAAGAACCUGAAACCGUGUACGUACAAGCAGUGGGAGCACAGAGCAAUCUGUGUGACUGCGUACCUUUUGUAUAAUGGGUCAGCGACUUAUAUUCUGUAGCAAGGUUAACCGAAUAGGGGAGCCGAAGGGAAACCGAGUCUUAACUGGGCGUUAAGUUGCAGGGUAUAGACCCGAAACCCGGUGAUCUAGCCAUGGGCAGGUUGAAGGUUGGGUAACACUAACUGGAGGACCGAACCGACUAAUGUUGAAAAAUUAGCGGAUGACUUGUGGCUGGGGGUGAAAGGCCAAUCAAACCGGGAGAUAGCUGGUUCUCCCCGAAAGCUAUUUAGGUAGCGCCUCGUGAAUUCAUCUCCGGGGGUAGAGCACUGUUUCGGCAAGGGGGUCAUCCCGACUUACCAACCCGAUGCAAACUGCGAAUACCGGAGAAUGUUAUCACGGGAGACACACGGCGGGUGCUAACGUCCGUCGUGAAGAGGGAAACAACCCAGACCGCCAGCUAAGGUCCCAAAGUCAUGGUUAAGUGGGAAACGAUGUGGGAAGGCCCAGACAGCCAGGAUGUUGGCUUAGAAGCAGCCAUCAUUUAAAGAAAGCGUAAUAGCUCACUGGUCGAGUCGGCCUGCGCGGAAGAUGUAACGGGGCUAAACCAUGCACCGAAGCUGCGGCAGCGACGCUUAUGCGUUGUUGGGUAGGGGAGCGUUCUGUAAGCCUGUGAAGGUGUACUGUGAGGUAUGCUGGAGGUAUCAGAAGUGCGAAUGCUGACAUAAGUAACGAUAAAGCGGGUGAAAAGCCCGCUCGCCGGAAGACCAAGGGUUCCUGUCCAACGUUAAUCGGGGCAGGGUGAGUCGACCCCUAAGGCGAGGCCGAAAGGCGUAGUCGAUGGGAAACAGGUUAAUAUUCCUGUACUUGGUGUUACUGCGAAGGGGGGACGGAGAAGGCUAUGUUGGCCGGGCGACGGUUGUCCCGGUUUAAGCGUGUAGGCUGGUUUUCCAGGCAAAUCCGGAAAAUCAAGGCUGAGGCGUGAUGACGAGGCACUACGGUGCUGAAGCAACAAAUGCCCUGCUUCCAGGAAAAGCCUCUAAGCAUCAGGUAACAUCAAAUCGUACCCCAAACCGACACAGGUGGUCAGGUAGAGAAUACCAAGGCGCUUGAGAGAACUCGGGUGAAGGAACUAGGCAAAAUGGUGCCGUAACUUCGGGAGAAGGCACGCUGAUAUGUAGGUGAAGUCCCUCGCGGAUGGAGCUGAAAUCAGUCGAAGAUACCAGCUGGCUGCAACUGUUUAUUAAAAACACAGCACUGUGCAAACACGAAAGUGGACGUAUACGGUGUGACGCCUGCCCGGUGCCGGAAGGUUAAUUGAUGGGGUCAGCGCAAGCGAAGCUCUUGAUCGAAGCCCCGGUAAACGGCGGCCGUAACUAUAACGGUCCUAAGGUAGCGAAAUUCCUUGUCGGGUAAGUUCCGACCUGCACGAAUGGCGUAAUGAUGGCCAGGCUGUCUCCACCCGAGACUCAGUGAAAUUGAACUCGCUGUGAAGAUGCAGUGUACCCGCGGCAAGACGGAAAGACCCCGUGAACCUUUACUAUAGCUUGACACUGAACAUUGAGCCUUGAUGUGUAGGAUAGGUGGGAGGCUUUGAAGUGUGGACGCCAGUCUGCAUGGAGCCGACCUUGAAAUACCACCCUUUAAUGUUUGAUGUUCUAACGUUGACCCGUAAUCCGGGUUGCGGACAGUGUCUGGUGGGUAGUUUGACUGGGGCGGUCUCCUCCUAAAGAGUAACGGAGGAGCACGAAGGUUGGCUAAUCCUGGUCGGACAUCAGGAGGUUAGUGCAAUGGCAUAAGCCAGCUUGACUGCGAGCGUGACGGCGCGAGCAGGUGCGAAAGCAGGUCAUAGUGAUCCGGUGGUUCUGAAUGGAAGGGCCAUCGCUCAACGGAUAAAAGGUACUCCGGGGAUAACAGGCUGAUACCGCCCAAGAGUUCAUAUCGACGGCGGGGUUUGGCACCUCGAUGUCGGCUCAUCACAUCCUGGGGCUGAAGUAGGUCCCAAGGGU